This 68-nucleotide transfer RNA is filed under the name Marmota monax (woodchuck). Its description in RNAcentral is "tRNA.Met". The record is from RNAcentral. Lineage: Eukaryota; Metazoa; Chordata; Mammalia; Rodentia; Sciuridae.
GGAUUGUGGCUCAGCGGUAGAGUGCUCACCUCAUACAUGAGAGACCCUGGCUUCGAUCCUCAGCACCA